This 253-nucleotide ribosomal RNA is filed under the name uncultured bacterium. RNAcentral describes it as "partial 16S ribosomal RNA". It matches the Rfam family "Bacterial small subunit ribosomal RNA", at positions 524 to 776 of the family's 1533-position model. The record is from RNAcentral.
UACGUAGGGUCCAAGCGUUGUUCGGAUUCACUGGGCGUAAAGGGUGCGUAGGCGGUCGGGUAAGUCUGAUGUGAAAUCUCACAGCUUAACUGUGAAACUGCAUUGGAUACUAUCCGGCUCGAGGAAUGGAGGGGAGACUGGAAUACUUGGUGUAGCAGUGAAAUGCGUAGAUAUCAAGUGGAACACCAGUGGCGAAGGCGAGUCUCUGGACAUUUCCUGACGCUGAGGCACGAAAGCCAGGGGAGCAAACGGG